CGGGCCUGCAGUGCUUGCUGGAUGCUGGGCUCUUCUGCGGACCCGCGGGGAGGCGCGGCCCGAAGCGGGAGGCCUGGCGUCCGCGCCGCCGGGAGGGAGGCUGCACCUUUUGUCAGAGUCACUGAGCCAUGUUUGGGGGCGGUGCAGUUGCCGAGGCGGCGGCGGCGCGGGGCAGGGUGCGAUCAUCUGGGAAGACACCGUCCCCUGCCCCGCCGGCGCGGUGGUAUCUCCCUUAAAGAAGCCGGCGCCUCAUUGUUCCCGGGCCGCAGCCGCGGGGAGUCUGGGGCUCCCUGCCCUGCGCGAGGAGGAGGGGGCGGCGGCCCCCGCACCCCCUGUCCGGCGGCGGCACCUGCGGGCUUGUCGUGGAGAGUCGGGAUCCCGCAGGCGCGCGGCGAGAGGCGGCGGUCCGAGUCGGCCGGGGCCGGGAGUGACAGCGAAGGCCUGUGACAGCCAGCCCGGGACUGUCAGUUACUCAGAGACCCGGACCAAUCGGUCAUUCACUUAGUUGCGCAGCUCACCUCCUCUAUCUGAUAUGGUACCAAGAUACACCCGAGGAGAGCGUUGUCAUACAUUGCUGGUGGGAACGCAAAAUGAUGUAACUCUAAUUAAGGAGAUUUGGCAAUAUAUAGCUACGUUACGUAUGUAUUUACUCUUUCACCCAGUAAUCCUAGGUCAAAUCCUAAACUAGGAAUCUGUCCUAGUGAUAUACCGGCAAAAAUAUAAAAAGUUGUAUACACAAGGCUAUUCAUUAUGGCAUUAUUUUUAUAGCAAGAUUGGAAACUGCUCACAUGUCAAUAAAGAACUGGCUGAAUAUAGUACAUACACAGGAUGGAGUGCUAUGCAGCUGUAAAAAGAUCAGGAAGAUUUCAUAUAUAUGCUAAUAAACAUGCUAAUAUGGAGUAAUGUCCAUAUAUUGUGAAGUGACAUAAGCAAGGAGCAUAAUAGUGUUUAUAGCAUGUGUAAGUAACGGAGAGAUAUAAAUAUACAUUAAUUGCUUAUACUUAAAAGUUAAACAAUGGAAGAAUAAACUGUAAUCUUCUAAAAAUGGUUUCUUAUAU
This 1058-nucleotide long non-coding RNA is filed under the name Equus asinus (donkey). RNAcentral's name for it is "lncRNA (ENSEASG00005037958.1)". The record is from RNAcentral. Lineage: Eukaryota; Metazoa; Chordata; Mammalia; Perissodactyla; Equidae.